RNAcentral lists this long non-coding RNA (487 nucleotides) under Homo sapiens (human). RNAcentral describes it as "HSALNT0363060". The record is from RNAcentral. Lineage: Eukaryota; Metazoa; Chordata; Mammalia; Primates; Hominidae.
AGAUGCUCUCUAGAGACCAGGGUCUCAUGCCCUUGAUUCUGAGGGCCCCGGGCUUGCUGGAUGGGGGUUCACCAGGUAUCAUCCCGUUUCUGGUUGGAGCAAGGGACCUUGCCUCGCUAUUGAAAGCGCGCUGCUUUACUUCGAUUGUAGCUCCCCAUAAUCUCCGGAAUGAAGAGCAAGCGGUCCGGGCCGGGUGCGGUGGCUCAUGUCUGUAAUCCCGGCACUUCCGCAGGCCAAGGCAGGAGGAUCGCUGGAGCCCAGCCUGGGCAAAAUAGCAAGACCCCCUGUCUCUACCAAAAAAAAAAAAAAAAAAAAAAAGGCGGGGGUGGGGGGAUGGUUAACAAGCUGGGCAUGGUGGCGCACGCCGGUAGUUCCAGCUACUCGGUAGGCUGAGGUGGGAGGAUGGCUUGAGCCCAGGAUGUCCAGGCUGUGGUGAGCCAUGAUCACGCCACAGCACUCCAGCCUGGGCAACAGAGCGAGACCCUGU